CUAUGUGUUGUUGGGUAGGGGAGCGUUCUGUAAGCCUGUGAAGGUGGCCUGUGAGGGUUGCUGGAGGUAUCAGAAGUGCGAAUGCUGACAUAAGUAACGAUAAAGCGGGUGAAAAGCCCGCUCGCCGGAAGACCAAGGGUUCCUGUCCAACGUUAAUCGGGGCAGGGUGAGUCGACCCCUAAGGCGAGGCCGAAAGGCGUAGUCGAUGGGAAACAGGUUAAUAUUCCUGUACUUGGUGUUACUGCGAAGGGGGGACGGAGAAGGCUAUGUUGGCCGGGCGACGGUUGUCCCGGUUUAAGCGUGUAGGCUGGUUUUCCAGGCAAAUCCGGAAAAUCAAGGCUGAGGCGUGAUGACGAGGCACUACGGUGCUGAAGCAACAAAUGCCCUGCUUCCAGGAAAAGCCUCUAAGCAUCAGGUAACAUCAAAUCGUACCCCAAACCGACACAGGUGGUCAGGUAGAGAAUACCAAGGCGCUUGAGAGAACUCGGGUGAAGGAACUAGGCAAAAUGGUGCCGUAACUUCGGGAGAAGG
This 531-nucleotide ribosomal RNA is filed under the name Escherichia coli. Its description in RNAcentral is "partial 23S ribosomal RNA". It matches the Rfam family "Bacterial large subunit ribosomal RNA", at positions 1214 to 1746 of the family's 2925-position model. The record is from RNAcentral. Lineage: Bacteria; Pseudomonadati; Pseudomonadota; Gammaproteobacteria; Enterobacterales; Enterobacteriaceae.